Leptinotarsa decemlineata (Colorado potato beetle) is the source of this 890-nucleotide long non-coding RNA. The record is from RefSeq and is a predicted model, not a curated record. NCBI's taxonomy places the organism in Eukaryota, Metazoa, Arthropoda, Insecta, Coleoptera, Chrysomelidae.
UAUUUACAUGAGAUUUGUUUAUUUUAAUUUAAAAGUGGAUUACCGAAUCAAUCCCAGUCACCACUGUUACGUCACGAGAUCACGUGACGUAUCCAACAAAAUCGCAAAAGAAAGCAAUCCUGUAUGUCCAUUAUCGUUGGGUAUUCUCGGACUAUACAGUAAUCGCUCGUAUCCUCUUGAGUAUUCCUCAAAAUAGUUGCAAUCGAACGGCCGUCGAGUGCGCAUUAAUUUUUAAAUCCAUUUUAACGAAUUUGAACUAAUUUUGGGUCCACGGGACCCGUGGGUACUUUUAACGUUAUAUUUUCUGUGUGAUUUCAUAAAAGAUCGGAUGAAGAGUUGAUGAAAAUAGUAGAUAAUGAUGAAUUUUGGAACGAUAUUCAAAACAAAGAUGAUGUUUUGAAUAAUAAAGGAGAUCGGUUGCGUGCUAUUGAAGAUGUACUUCAUUAUGGAAAUGCAAGUGAUGUUGAAGAAAUGGAUUUUGAGGAAAUAAGCGAUCACGAUACAGACAGUGAAAUUUAUUAGUGGCAAUUUUAUGAUCAAGACUAUGACUCCGAUGAUAGUGAGUUAGGACAAAUUAGACAUCGAAUUUCCAAUCGAAAAGUUAAUUGCAAAUUACGAGAUACAGCCUCCGAUAUCUUCAAUAUUGAUCCAGAACGCCCUGUUGAGCUACCUGCUGAAGUUUCCAGGUCAAAAAAAAAAGAUGUUCUGUAUGUCCAUCGAAAAACGACCGUAAAACCAACCAUAGUUGCGACAUAGCCAAGAAAACCUAUAUGUUUGCAAUGUGCAAAAACAAUUUGUCCAAAUUGUUUGUGAUUUUUUUUUAUACUUGAUAUGGGUUAACAUUAUAUCAUAGAAUACUUGUUUUCAUUUUGAAAUAAAUUUUUGCAGAA